This 1346-nucleotide ribosomal RNA is filed under the name uncultured bacterium. RNAcentral's name for it is "bacterial SSU rRNA". It matches the Rfam family "Bacterial small subunit ribosomal RNA", at positions 28 to 1381 of the family's 1533-position model. The record is from RNAcentral.
GACGAACGCUGGCGGCGUGCUUAACACAUGCAAGUCGAACGGAAAGGCCCUGCUUUUGUGGGGUGCUCGAGUGGCGAACGGGUGAGUAACACGUGAGUAACCUGCCCUUGACUUUGGGAUAACUUCAGGAAACUGGGGCUAAUACCGGAUAGGAGCUCCUGCUGCAUGGUGGGGGUUGGAAAGUUUCGGCGGUUGGGGAUGGACUCGCGGCUUAUCAGCUUGCUGGUGGGGUAGUGGCUUACCAAGGCUUUGACGGGUAGCCGGCCUGAGAGGGUGACCGGCCACAUUGGGACUGAGAUACGGCCCAGACUCCUACGGGAGGCAGCAGUGGGGAAUAUUGCACAAUGGGCGGAAGCCUGAUGCAGCAACGCCGCGUGCGGGAUGACGGCCUUCGGGUUGUAAACCGCUUUCGCCUGUGACGAAGCGUGAGUGACGGUAAUGGGUAAAGAAGCACCGGCUAACUACGUGCCAGCAGCCGCGGUGAUACGUAGGGUGCGAGCGUUGUCCGGAUUUAUUGGGCGUAAAGGGCUCGUAGGUGGUUGAUCGCGUCGGAAGUGUAAUCUUGGGGCUUAACCCUGAGCGUGCUUUCGAUACGGGUUGACUUGAGGAAGGUAGGGGAGAAUGGAAUUCCUGGUGGAGCGGUGGAAUGCGCAGAUAUCAGGAGGAACACCAGUGGCGAAGGCGGUUCUCUGGGCCUUUCCUGACGCUGAGGAGCGAAAGCGUGGGGAGCGAACAGGCUUAGAUACCCUGGUAGUCCACGCUGUAAACGGUGGGUACUAGGUGUGGGGUCCAUUCCACGGGUUCCGUGCCGUAGCUAACGCUUUAAGUACCCCGCCUGGGGAGUACGGCCGCAAGGCUAAAACUCAAAGGAAUUGACGGGGCCCCGCACAAGCGGCGGAGCAUGCGGAUUAAUUCGAUGCAACGCGUAGAACCUUACCUGGGUUUGACAUGGAUCGGGAGCGCUCAGAGAUGGGUGUGCCUCUUUUGGGGUCGGUUCACAGGUGGUGCAUGGCUGUCGUCAGCUCGUGUCGUGAGAUGUUGGGUUAAGUCCCGCAACGAGCGCAACCCUUGUUCACUGUUGCCAGCACGUUAUGGUGGGGACUCAGUGGAGACCGCCGGGGUCAACUCGGAGGAAGGUGGGGAUGACGUCAAGUCAUCAUGCCCCUUAUGUCCAGGGCUUCACGCAUGCUACAAUGGCUGGUACAGAGAGUGGCGAGCCUGUGAGGGUGAGCGAAUCUCGGAAAGCCGGUCUCAGUUCGGAUUGGGGUCUGCAACUCGACCUCAUGAAGUCGGAGUCGCUAGUAAUCGCAGAUCAGCAACGCUGCGGUGAAUACGUUCCCGGGGCU